This 3127-nucleotide ribosomal RNA is filed under the name Oncorhynchus mykiss (rainbow trout). RNAcentral describes it as "eukaryotic LSU rRNA". It matches the Rfam family "Eukaryotic large subunit ribosomal RNA", at positions 1948 to 3401 of the family's 3401-position model. Lineage: Eukaryota; Metazoa; Chordata; Actinopteri; Salmoniformes; Salmonidae. The record is from RNAcentral.
UUGUCUCUAAGGGCUGGGUCAGUCAGGCUGGGGUCCGAAGCUGGGCUGGGGAAGCAUUCGCUCCGUUGCCCUCCUCUCGCCACCGUUGUAAGUUCGUUGUGCGGACCAUCUUGCGGUCUCUCAUGCGUGGUCUUGCAAGGGGCUGCGUGCAGGGGUUCGUUUGGGGUGGUGUCCUUCAUGCGGGGGUUCGCUGGGCCCUUCUCGCUGAUCUCCCCAGCUACGGCACUCACCGGACCCGUUUGCGUGGGGUCUCCGGUGGGUAGCAGCUGACUUAGAACUGGUGCGGACCAGGGGAAUCCGAUUGUUGACGUGAUGUGAUUUCUGCGUAGUGCUCUGAAUGUAAAAGUGAAGAAAUUCAAUGAAGCGUGGGUAAACGGCGGGAGUAACUAUGACUCUCUUAAGGAGUCCUUAGCCCAGGACAUUAGGGGUCCAUGCUUCCCAAAAUAAUGGGAAGUCGUAUACGGGUGACCCCAAACCCUACAUUGUGUCACCUGCUUGCAGGUGGCCCUAACAUAGCAACAAACUGGAGCAAAAUGUGCCUUCAGGUCGAACGAAACCCUGAUCCGGCUGAGAGUUAAUGCCUCAGAUAGGUUAGAUAAUCAUCUUCAGGAUAGGUCCCCCCCCCCCCCGCGGGACGGUUGAGUUAACGUAGGCUAAUGUGAUUAGCAUGUUGUAGGAAACAAAAAACAAUCCCAGGACAUAGACUUAUCUGAUAUGGGCAGAAAGCUUAAAUUCUUGUUAAUCUUACUGCACUGUCCAAUUUACAGUAGCUAUUACAGUGAAAUAAUACCAUGCUAAUGUUUGAGGAGAGUGCACAAUUGUGAACUUGAAAAUGUAUGAAUAAACCAAUUAGGCACAUUUGGGGAGUCUUGAUACAUUUUGAAUAGAUGUGCAAUAGUUCAUUGGCUCACUCUCCUACAGUGCUGUCAUCUAGUGGCCAAAGUCUAAAUUGUGCCUGGGCUAGAAUAAUUCAUUAUGGCCUUUCUCUUGCAUUUCAAAGAUGAUGGUACAAAAAAAGGUUGGAUUUUUCUUUUGUAUUAUCUUUUACCAGAUCUAAUGUGUUAUAUUCUCCUACAUUCCUUUCACAUUUCCACAAACCUCAAAGUGUUUCCUUUCAAAUUGUAUCAAGAAUAUGCAUAUCCUUACUUCAGGUCCUAAGCUACAGGCAGUUAGAUUUGGGUAUGUCAUUUUAGGCGAAAAUUGAAAAAAAGGGCAGAUCCUUAAUUAUUUUAAGACAGGGGAGGUAAGGGAAGACUUCAAAGUCAGAUGCAUAACUUCGGGAUAAAUAGUACCGUAGCCCUUGGAGGGCUCUUCCAACCCUUACUCUGUGUGUCACCUGUUUGAGGGAAUCUCUCCAAUGGCUAAGAGACAGACUGUCUCUAGCAUGUUAGCACAGGGGGGUAAGGCAGAUAACGAGAUAGCCCUCUAGCAGGGCUCUUCCAAUCCCUCCCUGUAUGUCACCUGUUUUCAGGUGUCGCUAACGAUGCAAACCAAACGGAAGUUACUUCGGUACUAGUCCGUACGCAAAGAGAGUCCUGCAGAUGGUGACGGCUGUUGAUUGUUUACGGAAGGUGGAAGUCGGUCCUGGAAUAUGGGCCUUUCUGGCAAGCAUGAAAAUGUGAGGGCGGUUCCACCAGGCUCAAUGUUUUGCUACGGAGCUCUUGUAAACAAAUCCUGACCUUGACAGAAAGCCAAUCAGAGAAUGAUGGCUCGAAUGCAUCCCUGGCUUUGGCUGGGAGGGGGGAGUUAAGUCCCGGCUGUGGUGAAACGAUUAAAGAUGUGUCCCCCGUAUACUUGGCUAACGCUAAACCGCAAAGGUUUGAAUCGCACACGGGCUUCGGCUGGACCCGCUAACAGUGGAGCACUAAAUGGAGAUGGAUUGUGCUUAGCGGUUAUGGACACUGCCAGGUCUCAGGUCCGCCUGGGUGCGGGACUCCACACAUUCUAUGUGGGAGCUCUCCUCCACGCUCCUUGGAGCAUGUAGUGGAGAUGGCAUGUGCUUUACCAUUAGCUGACACUACCAGGCCUCAGAUAUUGUAGGUAGGGAGGUCUCCUCUACGCUCACUAGACACGAGGCGGAGACUAAACCCAUUGGCCCCGCAGUGAUAGGGCAUUGCAUGGAUCUGGCCUAGGUUCCCACUGGGCACGGAUCACUGAAUGUUAAAUUGAUGAAAUUCGGCCCUCCCGGGUGGCGCAGUGGUUAAGGGCGCUGUACUGUAGCGCCAGCUGUGCCACCAGAGACCCUGGGUUAUCGUUUUUUCACUUACUCGUUGAGGCGGGCUCUCGCUUCUGGGUCAAGGGGACAGUGGCAGGUGGGGAGUUUGACUGGGGCGGUACACCUGUCAAACGGUAACGCAGGUGUCCUAAGGUGAGCUCAGGGAGGACAGAAAUUUCCCUGGAGCAGAAGGGCAAAAGCUCGCUUGAUCAUGAUUUUCAGUAUGAAUACAGACCCAGAAAGCGGGGCCUCACGAUCCUUCUGACUUUUUGGGUUUUAAGAAGAAGGUGUCAGAAAAGUUACCAUAGGGAUAACUGACUUGUGGCUGCCAAACGUUCAUAGUGACGUAGCUUUUUGAUCCUUCGAUGUCGGCUCUUCCUAUCAUUGUGAAGCAGAAUUCACCAAGCGUUGGAUUGUUCACCCACUAAUGGGGAACGUGAGCUGGGUUUAGACCGUCGUGAGACAGGUUAGUUUUACCCUACUGAUGAUGUGUUGUUGCAAUAGUAAUCCUGCUCAGUACGAGAGGAACCGCAGGUUCAGAUAUUUGGUGCAUGUGCUUGGCUGAGGAGCCAAUGGUGCGAAUCUACCAUCUGUGGGAUUAUGACAGAAUGCCUCUAAGUCAGAAUCCCCCCUAAACGUAAUGAUACUGUAGUGCCGCGGAUCUCCGGCUGGCCCGGGAUAGCCUGCCUCUUUUGGCAGGUGAGCAGAGCUGUUCGUCACGGGGUUGGGGUGUGGCCGGAUGAGUUGCCGCCCCUCUCCUGAUGCGCACCGCAUGUUUGUGGGGAACCUGGUGCUAAAUCACUCGUAGACGACCUGAUUCUGGGUCAAGGUUUCGUACGUACCUUAGCAGCUCUCUCGCUGCGAUCUAUUGAAAGUCAGCCCUAGAUCCAAGCUUUUGAGAUCCAAAGCGUC